GUUGCAGAUUGGAGUCCAUACUCAUGCCAAGGAACAGGUAACAUGAAUCAUGAUGGGACCUUGCAUCAAACUCAUCUGGACAAUGGAGUACUCCUAGUAAUGCUAUAGCAGAAAAAAUUCAAUUUUUGGACCACGAGAUGCCAAACAAGGACCUACCUAGUUGCCACACAGCAUGAGAAAUUUCUUUGUACAGAGUCAGCAAAAGAUGAGCACCCUCAUGUUGCGAUAGGAUGCAACUGGAGAAGUUUUUUGGUGACUCGAAUUAAAACACGCAAGCCAUUC
This 282-nucleotide long non-coding RNA is filed under the name Elaeis guineensis (African oil palm). RNAcentral describes it as "long non-coding RNA (EGUI_LNC021031)". The record is from RNAcentral. Lineage: Eukaryota; Viridiplantae; Streptophyta; Magnoliopsida; Arecales; Arecaceae.